CAACACUAUCAUCAGCGUACAGCUAAUGACAAGGCUUCCUGUGCAUACUUGGAACCUUAUACUUCCUGUACAUAUCUCCUUAUAGUGUCCUUUUCACAACUUACUCAAAUGUGUCAUCUACUUCAUUUAUACUAUCUUCAUGGCUUGGAUCUACUACAUCUGAGGCCACCCCUGGCUCCUAUCCCAAGGCAGGGUGAAGGGCAUCCUUCUCUUGUGUUAGGUCCUUAGAAAAGCUCACAGCAACCUAUUGCCUAAUCUCAAAUUGCUCCAGGGAAAGCUCAGGUGCAAAGAAAAGAGGCAAUAUAAGU
This 308-nucleotide long non-coding RNA is filed under the name Fukomys damarensis (Damara mole-rat). Its description in RNAcentral is "lncRNA (ENSFDAG00000028316.1)". Lineage: Eukaryota; Metazoa; Chordata; Mammalia; Rodentia; Bathyergidae. The record is from RNAcentral.